Molecule: long non-coding RNA, 1682 nt
Organism: Bombus pascuorum
Lineage: Eukaryota; Metazoa; Arthropoda; Insecta; Hymenoptera; Apidae
Exons: 2
Source: RefSeq, a predicted model, not a curated record
CUAUUAGAACACCCGGUACAUGACUGACCAGAUGUAGACACGAAGAAUUGAAACGGUAAGAACAGCUGCGGUUCCAAACGCGAGCUGUUAUUGUUUUUCUGACUCAUGAGUGGCAAUAACGGAAUGUCAACAGAAGUGUCGCUUCUGUUCAACUGCGAACUAUUUUCCGACGUACUUUCAAAGCAACUGUGUUUGACAGCCUUUAAGAAGAACCAUUAUUUCACAGUAUAUUACCGAUCAGUAAUAUCUAUAGUAGACAGUAAAGAGUUACAUGUUAUGCGAAAUACAAAUCCCCCUACAAGUUAAGAAAUUAUUGACAGAAGAAGAAAGACAUGAAUUCGAAAGAUAGGAAAGGUGGAAAUGACAUAACCUAUUGUUCGGCGGAAGCUUUAAAUUGAAAUUGUAACGUACAAUUUUUAAUUUAUUUUUGACAAUAAGUAAUGAUUUUUGCCGACAAUAUUUUUAAAAAAUACAAACGGAUCAAUGUCGUAGAAAAUAAUUUAUAUCCGACUGAAAGAGCAUUUGCUGAAUCCCGAAGUGCAGUCUGAAGAGUGGGGUUCAGCUGUAAUAGGGGUAGGGGGUUCAUGGUGUUCCAUGAAUUUUGUGCGCAUGCAUCCAUAAUCCGUGUGCAUUGCGUCUGUACGUGUUUGUGCGUUUGUGUGUGUGUGGGAGGGGAUGUAGAAAAUACGGGUGUGGUUCGAUCAAUACGAACAUCCCAUGGAUCCAUCGGUGCGUGUCUCACACAGGUAUACGUUUGUUUGAGGUGAUUCACCUCAAAUUGUGACUGUCUCUAAAAGUUAUUUCAGUAUAAAAUCCUACCUUUAACUCCUUAUCAUUACGUAAAAUAUAUAUCUUCGAGAGUUAACAAAUCAUUAAGAUAAAGUUACAAUGCUCAGUACCUGCUAUACUCAAAUAUUGAUAAUAGUAAUAAUAUUGACAGAAGUCAAUUUUUCUAAUAGCUAUUGUAGCUAUCAUAUAUUGUAUUGUGAUUAAUGGAGGAAGAAAUUAUCAACAACUUUAUUAUUACAAAGGAAGAAAUGUAACGAACAGAUGUUCAACAGAGUUAUUUUUAAACCUAACCUAUAGGACGUGUUUGUAUGAGUCUCGCGCAGAAAAAUCAUCAGUAAAACCCGACGGAAAUGAGGCUUGCACGGAGAAGAGAUUACGGUAUAUCGACUGUUGAAUGGUAUCCGUUCAGUUUCCCAUAGCCCCGAUAUUAAGACCUCGUUAAUGUGAUAAAGCCGGUUAGUCAGAUAUAAUGGCGCCUUUCAUUAAGCACGUUGAAAGGUUGCUUGGUAAAGUUGGUGUACAAAUACCGAAUAUACAUAUAUUCCUAUCGUGUAAUCUAAUAUACGUUUUGUCUUGUGUAUUGUGAGACAUAAAGUGAGUUAUGCCCGCGACUAAUUUCGAGGUUUCGUUUGAACAGCAAAAUUAAGUCUUCUUAUAAGUCUUAUAGGUACUUAAACGUAUUAAGGCGAGUACACAUUGGUAUAACUUUCUUUCACUAUUAUAUAUAUAUAUAUAUAUAUCAUAAUAUGUAUAUAUACAUAAAAUUUAUAAAAGUUUUCUGUACUUAAACAUUUGAGGGCUUCAUCUUACUAAGUCAACCUAACAUUCUAACAUUUCUCAAUUAACAAAAAUUGUAUAUGUUUAAUCUUAUCAUUAAACGCAUACUAUCCUAA